AGAGUUUGAUCCUGGCUCAGAACGAACGCUGGCGGCGUGCUUAACACAUGCAAGUCGAGUGCGCGCCUGUAGCAAUACAGGUGGCGCACGGCGCACGGGUGCGUAACACGUGGGCAAUCUGCCCUCUGAUGAGGAAUAACCCGCCGAAAGGCGGGCUAAUACCGCAUAAAAUUCCUUGGACUUAUGUUCGAGGACUCAAAGGCGUAAGUCGUCGGAGGAGGAGCCCGCGCACGAUUAGCUAGUUGGUAGGGUAAUGGCCUACCAAGGCUUUGAUCGUUAGCUGGUCUGAGAGGAUGGCCAGCCACACUGGAACUGAGACACGGUCCAGACUCCUACGGGAGGCAGCAGUGGGGAAUCUUGCACAAUGGGCGAAAGCCUGAUGCAGCGACGCCGCGUGGGGGAUGAAGCAUUUCGGUGUGUAAACCCCUUUCGAUCCGGACGAAUGCCUCGCAAGAGGAGUGACGGUACGGAUAUAAGAAGCCCCGGCUAACUACGUGCCAGCAGCCGCGGUAAGACGUAGGGGGCCAGCGUUGUUCGGAAUUACUGGGUGUAAAGGGUUCGUAGGCGGUGUGGCAAGUUGGGUGUGAAAUCUCUGGGCUCAACCCAGAGACUGCUUCCAAAACUGCUGUGCUUGAGUGUGAGAGAGGCUCGUGGAAUUGCAGGUGUAGCGGUGAAAUGCGUAGAUAUCUGCAGGAACACCCGUGGCGAAAGCGGCGAGCUGGAUCACUACUGACGCUGAGGAACGAAAGCUAGGGGAGCAAACAGGAUUAGAUACCCUAGUAGUCC
Molecule: ribosomal RNA, 786 nt
Filed under: uncultured bacterium
Lineage: Bacteria
Description: bacterial SSU rRNA
Rfam family: Bacterial small subunit ribosomal RNA
Source: RNAcentral